RNAcentral lists this ribosomal RNA (432 nucleotides) under uncultured bacterium. Its description in RNAcentral is "partial 16S ribosomal RNA". It matches the Rfam family "Bacterial small subunit ribosomal RNA", at positions 29 to 506 of the family's 1533-position model. The record is from RNAcentral.
AACGAACGCUGGCGGCAUGCCUAACACAUGCAAGUCGAACGAGACCUUCGGGUCUAGUGGCGCACGGGUGCGUAACGCGUGGGAACCUGCCCUUAGGUUCGGAAUAACUCCCCGAAAGGGGUGCUAAUACCGGAUAAUGUCUUCGGACCAAAGAUUUAUCGCCUUUGGAUGGGCCCGCGUUGGAUUAACUAGUUGGUAGGGUAAAAGCCUACCAAGGCGACGAUCCAUAGCUGGUCUGAGAGGAUGAUCAGCCACACUGGGACUGAGACACGGCCCAGACUCCUACGGGAGGCAGCAGUGGGGAAUAUUGGACAAUGGGCGAAAGCCUGAUCCAGCAAUGCCGCGUGAGUGAUGAAGGCCUUAGGGUUGUAAAGCUCUUUUACCCGGGAUGAUAAUGACAGUACCGGGAGAAUAAGCUCCGGCUAACUCCGU